AGAAUUUGUGACACUUAAAAGCAAUUUAUUAACUCAAUUUCUUGGUGUACGGACAAACCGUGCGAACAGAUAAUAAAAUGUUAAUUGAAAUUUUAUUAAAAUUAAUUAGAAUGUUUCUGUGUGUAAUAUUACGUUGCGCAUAUAGAUGCCCCAUUUGAGCAGAAGAAAUAAAUUUCUAUCGAAUCAGUUUAAGUUGCGUCAGGUACUGUUUGAU
This 214-nucleotide long non-coding RNA is filed under the name Ananas comosus (pineapple). RNAcentral's name for it is "long non-coding RNA (ACOM_LNC014226)". Lineage: Eukaryota; Viridiplantae; Streptophyta; Magnoliopsida; Poales; Bromeliaceae. The record is from RNAcentral.